GGUGGUGCAUGGCUGUCGUCAGCUCGUGUCGUGAGAUGUUGGGUUAAGUCCCGCAACGAGCGCAACCCCCGUCGUAUGUUGCCAGCAUUUAGUUGGGGACUCAUGCGAGACUGCCGGUGGCAAACCGGAGGAAGGUGGGGAUGACGUCAAGUCAUCAUGCCCCUUAUGUCCAGGGCUACACACGUGCUACAUUGGCGUAUACAAAGGGUUGCGAUACCGCGAGGUGGAGCGAAUCUCACAAAGUACGUCUCGGUUCGGAUUGCAGGCUGAAACUCGCCUGCAUGAAGGUGGAGUUGCUAGUAAUCGUGGAUCAGCAAUGCCGCGGUGAAUACGUUCCCGGGCCUUGUACACACCGCCCGUCACACCACGGGAGUGAGCAACACCCGAAGCCGGUGGCCUAACCCGCAAGGGAGGGAGCCGUCGAAGGUGGGGCUCGUGACUGGGGUGAAGUCGUAACAAGGUAGCCGUACCGGAAGGUGCGGCUGGAUCACCUCCUUUCUAGGGAGC
This 507-nucleotide ribosomal RNA is filed under the name Pseudomonas sp. RNAcentral's name for it is "bacterial SSU rRNA". It matches the Rfam family "Bacterial small subunit ribosomal RNA", at positions 1037 to 1533 of the family's 1533-position model. The record is from RNAcentral. Lineage: Bacteria; Pseudomonadati; Pseudomonadota; Gammaproteobacteria; Pseudomonadales; Pseudomonadaceae.